Molecule: ribosomal RNA, 397 nt
Filed under: uncultured bacterium
Lineage: Bacteria
Description: partial 16S ribosomal RNA
Rfam family: Bacterial small subunit ribosomal RNA
Source: RNAcentral
AUACGUAGGGGGCAAGCGUUAUCCGGCUUUACUGGGCGUAAAGGGAGCGUAGACGGUGUGACAAGUCUGAUGUGAAAACCCGGGGCUCAACUCCGGGAUUGCAUUGGAAACUGCCAUACUUGAGUGCAGGAGAGGUAAGCGGAAUUCCUAGUGUAGCGGUGAAAUGCGUAGAUAUUAGGAGGAACACCGGCGGCGAAGGCGGCUUACUGGACUGUAACUGACGUUGAGGCUCGAAAGCGUGGGGAGCAAACAGGAUUAGAUACCCUGGUAGUCCACGCGGUAAACGAUGAAUACUAGGUGUUGGGGGUCUAUAGACCCUCGGUGCCGCAGCAAACGCAAUAAGUAUUCCACCUGGGGAGUACGUUCGCAAGAAUGAAACUCAAAGGAAUUGACGGGG